This 410-nucleotide small RNA is filed under the name Pan troglodytes (chimpanzee). RNAcentral describes it as "retained intron". Lineage: Eukaryota; Metazoa; Chordata; Mammalia; Primates; Hominidae. The record is from RNAcentral.
GGAGGGGUUGCUGCAGAGGGAUGUCAACCGGAGAUUGGGCUGCCUGGGCCGAGGGGCUCAGGAGGUGAAAGAGAGCCCCUUUUUCCGCUCCCUGGACUGGCAGAUGGUCUUCUUGCAGAAGGUAACAGUCUGUGGCAGGGACUGGGGGUGCUCUGCAGCCCCACCCCCGAGCUAAUGCCCAUGACCCCUGUUCUGCUGCAGUACCCUCCCCCGCUGAUCCCCCCACGAGGGGAGGUGAACGCGGCCGACGCCUUCGACAUUGGCUCCUUCGAUGAGGAGGACACAAAAGGAAUCAAGUUACUGGACAGUGAUCAGGAGCUCUACCGCAACUUCCCCCUCACCAUCUCGGAGCGGUGGCAGCAGGAGGUGGCAGAGACUGUCUUCGACACCAUCAACGCUGAGACAGACCG